UUUUUUUUUUUUUUUCUUUUUGGGGCUGCAUCCACAGCCCUAAAAAGGCGUCCCAGGCUAGGGAUCCAAUUGGAGCUACAGCUGCCAGCCCACACCACAGCCACAACCAUGCCAGAUCCGAGCUUUGUCUGCAACCUACACCACAGCUCAUGGCAACGGCCAGGGAUCAAACCUGCAUCCUCAUAGAGCCUAGUCGGGUUCCUUAACAGCUGAGCCACAACGGGAACUCCUCUUUACUUUUUUUUGCCUAAUACCUGGAAGACAAUGAGUUCUACUUCAUAGGGUGUGUGAAAUGAGUAACAUCAAACUGUGCCUGUGUUCUUGAAGUUUGCAAUUGAGGAGUCAGAGUAUCAUUGGUCUCUGCAGUCUCCCAACCAUCACGGUGUUCCUUGCACAAAAUAAUAAACAGUACACCUUCUUGGACCCCGAGUUUGGCAUAGAGAACGAUGUAAACAAAUAGUUACCCUGUUGUGUACCUGUCUGGACAGCAGUAUGAUCAACAAACUACAGAGAAACAGCAGAGAAUGACCUUAUUCUGCUUGCAUGAGCCAGGGUAGGCUUCAAGGAGGAGCUAACAUUUCUGAUGUCUCCAUAAGGAUGACUCAGGAUUUGCAAAAAUUAAGGGUGGACAGGCUUUCCAGGCAGAGGCACAGCAAAACUCAGGCACAGGCAAUAUCACAUGUUUAGGGUGUGAUGGAUGAGAAAUCGGAAGUGGCAGGUUCCUUAGGAGAACCACAGGCAAAGGGCUACUCAAUUCUCAUUUAUAUUAUGAUUCUAUUGUUCUGUAUAAAAUGAGUCAGGGCAGGGGAAUGUCUUGGGCACGCCAGACAUUCAGGGACCUGGGGAGUUGCCUUACAUCCUCUACACAGAAGGACUUUAUUAGAAUUUCUACUGGAAAGAGACCAUUUCUGCCAUCCAGGCGUGGGGGGUACAGUAGCCUCAACAAACUACUUCAAAAUAUUGAUUUCACUUCUGACUCUAUUUCACUUGACUCUUUUAUUUAGAAUCAAGAGACCAGAUGUUUCAAAAUGAGCAUGAUUUGUGACCAUACUCCAUAGAAAAGUUUCCUUAUAUUACUGUGGAAUCCCUAUUCUUUUUCCUUAGAUGGCAGGAUUAUGGUUUAAAUGGGAAUUUUCCUAGGCAAGGGAUUGAGCUGCAGCACUUUAAUCCACUUCGCCAGACCAGGGAUCGAGCAGUGGGAUUGUUAACCUACUGCACCAUAGCAGGAACACCUUUAAAUGGCAAUUUAAUGGUAAGAUUGAAACCAAGCAGGAACUUGUGGGGCUCCUGGGUAUAAAAGCUAAAAGACCAAAAAAAAAAAAAAAAAAAAAAAAAGGCCUUUCUAGGUCCCCCACUUCUUUGCAGGGAUAGGUUCAGCCUCUUCUGCCUUCAAGACCUUCCCUGAGGGCAGGUUCAAACAGGUGCUAAUGAGGGAAGGGAGGGGAUGCAGAGACAAGGGAGGAGCAGUCAAGAGACCACAGUGCAGCCUAGGGGCAGUGUCCUGGUUCCCCCUCAAGGAAUACACAUAACAGUAUCUUUGAGCUAAGAAGACUGCAGAACUAAAACCCCCAACAAA
This 1576-nucleotide long non-coding RNA is filed under the name Sus scrofa (pig). Its description in RNAcentral is "lncRNA (ENSSSCG00040073602.1)". The record is from RNAcentral. Lineage: Eukaryota; Metazoa; Chordata; Mammalia; Artiodactyla; Suidae.